GACGAACGCUGGCGGCGUGCUUAACACAUGCAAGUCGAACGGAAAGGCCUCUUUCGGGGGGUACUCGAGUGGCGAACGGGUGAGUAACACGUGAGUAACCUGCCCUUGACUUUGGGAUAACUUCAGGAAACUGGGGCUAAUACCGGAUAGGAGCUCCUGCUGCAUGGUGGGGGUUGGAAAGUUUCGGCGGUUGGGGAUGGACUCGCGGCGUAUCAGCUUGUUGGUGGGGUAGUGGCUUACCAAGGCUUUGACGGGUAGCCGGCCUGAGAGGGUGACCGGCCACAUUGGGAGUGAGAUACGGCCCAGACUCCUACGGGAGGGAGCAGUGGGGAAUAUUGCACAAUGGGGGGAAGCCUGAUGCAGCAACGCCGUGUGCGGGAUGACGGCCUUCGGGUUGUAAACCGCUUUCGCUCAUGACGAAGCGUUGUGUGACGGUAGUGGGUAAAGAAGCACCGGCUAACUACGUGC
RNAcentral lists this ribosomal RNA (468 nucleotides) under uncultured bacterium. Its description in RNAcentral is "partial 16S ribosomal RNA". It matches the Rfam family "Bacterial small subunit ribosomal RNA", at positions 28 to 508 of the family's 1533-position model. The record is from RNAcentral.